Long non-coding RNA from Oreochromis aureus, 1007 nucleotides. The record is from Ensembl. NCBI's taxonomy places the organism in Eukaryota, Metazoa, Chordata, Actinopteri, Cichliformes, Cichlidae.
CCAUGUUGUUGCAGUAUAUUAAUAACUAGCCUCGUAUUGUGGAUGGAUAAUCUUAGUUGUUCUCUUGACUGAAGUUUUGUCCGUUUACAGCAUCCUGCCAUGCGAUUGCAUUUGUCCCUAACAAUCGGGAACCCUCACGUUAACGUUCAUCGAGUGGAAAAAGUACAUGGUACCAUCGUGUGCAGCUGGAUGGACAUGGCGGAUGAGAAAAAAGAUUACCUCAGGGUAGGUGUAGAUGAGCCCCAGGCACAAUUUCAGAGAACCACUUCCAAUCUAGGACACACUCACAAAACCUCUGGGCGGAAGGAACCAUCAGGAUUACUCUCCAGUCUGAUUAAUAUGGACAAAAGAAAGGAAAGAUGUGUAUGUAUUGCAUGCCCAACCUCUUGGCCUCUCAUUUCACUAUCCAAUAUAUGUUGUUUUUCUUUUUUUCCUUUUUUUUCACACUCAGGACGACUAAGAAGAAGGAGGCGGACACGUUGCACCUUCUGACAUUCAUCUUUUUUACAGCAGCAGUGUAGCUUGUCUGCAUGCAGCUCUUUCAGCUAACAUAAUCAGAUUUCAUUAUACUGUGCUACAGCUGGCCUGUUACAGAUUUAAUCAAUCGUCUAAUCGUAGUAUUGCCACUAAUUACAAAUACGUAUUGAGAUCAAUAUGCAUUUCACACAUGCAGAAUCUCUCAGGAGAAAAUGCUGCACAGUGUGUGGCAUCGUGUAUAAACCAACCAGCUGGAGAGAUCCAUAAAUUAAAUAUGAAUAUCGCAGUUGUACAACUGAAACCUCCCCUGUUCUUUCACGUGAAAUGUAACCCAUACUGAAUACUGUAGUAUAAUACUAUAAAGCCAAUUUAGGCCCCUAACUGAAUUAAUCUGGUCAUUAAUUAAGACGGGAUGAUUAAAGGAAACACCCCGAGUGUGUUUCUGUCUUGAAAAGCUGCUACAUGAUUUUAAGCCAGUCUGUCAUAAAUCUAUCUACCAUUUAUGUUGCUUGGUUUGAGUGAUGAGUUUA